RNAcentral lists this unclassified non-coding RNA (355 nucleotides) under soil metagenome. RNAcentral describes it as "partial contains 5.8S ribosomal RNA, internal transcribed spacer 2, and large subunit ribosomal RNA". The stretch from base 1 to 120 matches the Rfam family "5.8S ribosomal RNA", at positions 35 to 154 of the family's 154-position model. The record is from RNAcentral.
GAUGAAGAACGUAGCGAAAUGCGAUAAGUAGUGUGAAUUGCAGAAUUCAGUGAAUCAUCGAAUCUUUGAACGCACAUUGCGCCUUCUAGUAUUCUGGGAGGCAUGUCUGUUUGAGCGUCAUUAAACCUCUCUCAAGUAUGAUUACUUGGAUGUGAAGGAAGAGUACCUUAAACUUAAGGAGUGUUCUCCUUUGAAAUUGAUUAGCAGAUGGUAAUGUUAUUAAAUCCCUGAUGUUGUAAGAAAUAACAGUGGUUUUGUAGACUAUUAUCUAGCUUUAAAUUAUAAUUUUUAUUAUGGUUGACCUCAAAUCAGGUAAGGAUACCCGCUGAACUUAAGCAUAUCAAUAAGCGGAGGA